UGGGGAAUAUUGGACAAUGGGGGCAACCCUGAUCCAGCCAUGCCGCGUGAGUGAUGAAGGCCUUAGGGUUGUAAAGCUCUUUUACCCGGGACGAUAAUGACUGUACCGGGAGAAUAAGCCCCGGCUAACUUCGUGCCAGCAGCCGCGGUAAUACGAAGGGGGCUAGCGUUGCUCGGAAUCACUGGGCGUAAAGCGCACGUAGGCGGAUCCUUAAGUCAGAGGUGAAAUCCCAAGGCUCAACCUUGGAACGGCCUUUGAUACUGGGGAUCUCGAGUCCGGAAGAGGUUGGUGGAACUGCGAGUGUAGAGGUGAAAUUCGUAGAUAUUCGCAAGAACACCAGUGGCGAAGGCGGCCAACUGGUCCGGCACUGACGCUGAGGUGCGAAAGCGUGGGGAGCAAACA
This 402-nucleotide ribosomal RNA is filed under the name uncultured Hyphomicrobiales bacterium. Its description in RNAcentral is "uncultured Rhizobiales bacterium partial 16S ribosomal RNA". It matches the Rfam family "Bacterial small subunit ribosomal RNA", at positions 355 to 774 of the family's 1533-position model. The record is from RNAcentral. Lineage: Bacteria; Pseudomonadati; Pseudomonadota; Alphaproteobacteria; Hyphomicrobiales.